RNAcentral lists this ribosomal RNA (921 nucleotides) under uncultured bacterium. Its description in RNAcentral is "bacterial SSU rRNA". It matches the Rfam family "Bacterial small subunit ribosomal RNA", at positions 28 to 926 of the family's 1533-position model. The record is from RNAcentral.
GACGAACGCUGGCGGCGUGCUUAACACAUGCAAGUCGAGCGGUAAGGCCCUUUUGGGGGUACACGAGCGGCGAACGGGUGAGUAACACGUGGGUGACCUGCCUUCAGCUCUGGGAUAAGCUUGGGAAACUGGGUCUAAUACCGGAUAUGACUGUCUGCCGCAUGGUGGGUGGUGGAAAGUUCUCGGGCUUUGGUCUGGGUUCGGCUGGGGAUGGGCCUGCGGCCUAUCAGCUUGUUGGUGGGGUGAUGGCCUACCAAGGCGACGACGGGUAGCCGGCCUGAGAGGGCGACCGGCCACACUGGGACUGAGACACGGCCCAGACUCCUACGGGAGGCAGCAGUGGGGAAUAUUGCGCAAUGGGCGGAAGCCUGACGCAGCGACGCCGCGUGGGGGAUGACGGCCUUCGGGUUGUAAACCUCUUUCGCCAUCGACGAAGGUUCUGUGGUUGUGAGGCUGCAGGGUUGACGGUAGGUGGAGAAGAAGCACCGGCCAACUACGUGCCAGCAGCCGCGGUAAUACGUAGGGUGCGAGCGUUGUCCGGAAUUAUUGGGCGUAAAGAGCUCGUAGGCGGUGUGUCGCGUCGGCCGUGAAAACCUGCAGCUUAACUGUGGGCGUGCGGUCGAUACGGGCAUCACUGGAGUUCGGCAGGGGAGACUGGAAUUCCUGGUGUAGCGGUGAAAUGCGCAGAUAUCAGGAGGAACACCGGUGGCGAAGGCGGGUCUCUGGGCCGAUACUGACGCUGAGGAGCGAAAGCGUGGGGAGCGAACAGGAUUAGAUACCCUGGUAGUCCACGCCGUAAACGGUGGGCGCUAGGUGUGGGGGCCAUUCCACGGUCUCUGUGCCGCAGCUAACGCAUUAAGCGCCCCGCCUGGGGAGUACGGCCGCAAGGCUAAAACUCAAAGAAUUGACGGGGGCCCCCCA